UUGUGCAGCAGAGCUUGGGCGUCUGUUCCUGGCUACCACCUACGAGUGGUCCCUGCAGAUCAUCUCCAGACGGGUCGUCAUCACGCUGCGGCAGGAGGAGCUCGCCCUGCCCCACGUCAGGCCGUGCUGCUGGGUCUGCAGAUGAGCGGCUGCCUCCUCCUCUCUUCAGCUGCAGUAGCGUUUCUCAGGGAGGUGGGAUGCAGUCACGCUCCGCUGGAUUCAGCUUCCUUUCCAAAAGGAGAUUUUGGGGAUGAAGGCAAUUGAAGAAAGGGUGAAGCCAGCUCUUUCCACGAGCUGGGGAAGUCCCUGUGGAGAGAACCGCAAGAACUUGGGCUUCCUCUGAGACCUUUCCCCCCAUGUCUCAGCAAGGAGACAACCGCUGUUUGCAUUUCUGCUCUGCGUGUAGAAAGGAGCAGCACGGUGCGGUUCCCCGUGUUUGGGAGCAGCAGCCAGCAGGCUGCAAGAGAUCCAGCUGCGCCUUUCAGUGCACAGAGGGACACGAUGGGGAUGGACCAUCCUUAGCGCCACUCUGAAAAGCUGAUGCAAGCAGCCUUCCGGCAAAGUGCAGCCAUGCAGAAAGGCAGCAGAGGAGCAUGGAGUGUGGCAUAGCACCAAGGAGAGGUACAGAUAAACAACAGGC
Long non-coding RNA from Numida meleagris (helmeted guineafowl), 640 nucleotides. RefSeq lists it as uncharacterized. The record is from RefSeq and is a predicted model, not a curated record. The transcript is spliced from 5 exons. Lineage: Eukaryota; Metazoa; Chordata; Aves; Galliformes; Numididae.